RNAcentral lists this ribosomal RNA (252 nucleotides) under uncultured bacterium. Its description in RNAcentral is "partial 16S ribosomal RNA". It matches the Rfam family "Bacterial small subunit ribosomal RNA", at positions 524 to 775 of the family's 1533-position model. The record is from RNAcentral.
CACGUAGGGCGCAAGCGUUGUCCGGAAUUAUUGGGCGUAAAGAGCUCGUAGGCGGUCUGUUGCGUCCGCUGUGAAAACUCGGGGCUUAACCCCGAGCUUGCAGUGGAUACGGGCAGACUAGAGGUAGGUAGGGGAGAAUGGAAUUCCCGGUGUAGCGGUGAAAUGCGCAGAUAUCGUGAGGAAGACCAGUGGCGAAGGCGGGUCUCUGGACAGUUCCUGACGCUGAGGCGCGAAGGCCAGGGGAGCAAACAG